UGAGUACGAGCUGCUACGGCAGCGAAGUGGAUGAUGUCAAGCUUCCAAGAAAAGCCCUAUACCCGUUAAGGCAUGACGGCCUGUACCCGAAACCGACACAGGUGGGGUGGUAGAGAAUACCGAGGGGCGCGAGAUAACUCUCUCUAAGGAACUCGGCAAAAUGGCCCCGUAACUUCGGGAGAAGGGGUGCCACCGCGAGGUGGUCGCAGUGAAGAGGCCCAGGCGACUGUUUACCAAAAACACAGGUCUCCGCUAAGUCGCAAGACGAUGUAUGGGGGCUGACGCCUGCCCAGUGCCGGAAGGUUAAGGAAGCCGGUCAGCGUAAGCGAAGCUGGCGACCGAAGCCCCGGUGAACGGCGGCCGUAACUAUAACGGUCCUAAGGUAGCGAAAUUCCUUGUCGGGUAAGUUCCGACCCGCACGAAAGGCGUAACGAUCUGGGCGCUCUCGGAGAGAGGCUCGGCGAAAUAGAAUUGUCUGUGAAGAUGCGGACUACGUGCACCCGGACAGAAAGACCCUAUGAAGCUUUACUGUAGCUUGGUAUUGUGCUCGGGCUCUGAAUGCGCAGGAUAGGUGGGAGUCUUUGAUCCAUUGCUUGUGGGUGAUGGUGAGCCACUGGUGAGAUACCACUCUUUCAGAGCUAGGGUUCUAACGGUCACCCGUUAUCCGGGGACCGGACAGUAUCAGGUGGGCAGUUUGACAGGGGCGGUCGCCUCCUAAAAGGUAACGGAGGCGCGCAAAGGUUCCCUCAGGCUGGUUGGAAAUCAGCCGACGAGUGCAAAGGCAGAAGGGAGCUUGACUGUGAGACCAACAAGUCGAACAGGGACGAAAGUCGGCCUUAGUGAUCCGACGGUUCUGAGUGAAGGGCCGUCGCUCAACGGAUAAAAGUUACUCUAGGAUAACAGGCUGAUCUCCCCCAAGAGUUCACAUCGACGGGGAGGUUUGGCACCUCGAUGUCGGCUCAUCGCAACCUGGGGCUGAAGUCGGUCCCAAGGGUUGGGCUGUUCGCCCAUUAAAGCGGUACGCGAGCUGGGUUCAGAACGUCGUGAGACAGUUCGGUCCAUAUCCGGUGCAUGCGCAGGAACAUUGAGAGGAUUUCUCCCUAGUACGAGAGGACCGGGAGGAACGCACCUCUGGUGUACCAGUUAUCGUGCCAACGGUAAACGCUGGGUAGCCAUGUGCGGAGCGGAUAACCGCUGAAAGCAUCUAAGUGGGAAGCCCACCUCAAGAUGAG
RNAcentral lists this ribosomal RNA (1232 nucleotides) under metagenome. RNAcentral's name for it is "bacterial LSU rRNA". It matches the Rfam family "Bacterial large subunit ribosomal RNA", at positions 1564 to 2808 of the family's 2925-position model. The record is from RNAcentral.